This 24-nucleotide non-coding RNA is filed under the name Arabidopsis thaliana (thale cress). The record is from RNAcentral. Lineage: Eukaryota; Viridiplantae; Streptophyta; Magnoliopsida; Brassicales; Brassicaceae.
UAUGUAGACAUAUUGAACGGAUGC